GGGUAAAGGCUCACCAAGGCGACGAUCUCUAGCUGGUCUGAGAGGAUGAUCAGCCACACUGGGACUGAGACACGGCCCAGACUCCUACGGGAGGCAGCAGUGGGGAAUAUUGGACAAUGGGGGCAACCCUGAUCCAGCCAUGCCGCGUGUGUGAAGAAGGCUUUCGGGUUGUAAAGCACUUUCAGACAGGAGGAAGGGGUUUCGGUUAAUACCCGAGAUCAUUGACGUUACUGUCAGAAGAAGCACCGGCUAACUCCGUGCCAGCAGCCGCGGUAAUACGGAGGGUGCGAGCGUUAAUCGGAAUUACUGGGCGUAAAGCGCGCGUAGGCGGCAAGUUAAGUUGGGUGUGAAAGCCCCGGGCUCAACCUGGGAAUUGCAUUCAAAACUGGCUCGCUUGAGUACGGCAGAGGAGUGUGGAAUUUCCGGUGUAGCGGU
Molecule: ribosomal RNA, 435 nt
Filed under: Saccharospirillum sp.
Lineage: Bacteria; Pseudomonadati; Pseudomonadota; Gammaproteobacteria; Oceanospirillales; Saccharospirillaceae
Description: bacterial SSU rRNA
Rfam family: Bacterial small subunit ribosomal RNA
Source: RNAcentral